GUUCUCAUAGCUCAACAGGAGAGAGCAUCGGUCUUCUAAACCGAGGGUUGUAGGUUCGAGUCCUACUGGGAACGCCA
This 77-nucleotide transfer RNA is filed under the name Synechococcus sp. CPC35. RNAcentral's name for it is "tRNA-Arg". It matches the Rfam family "tRNA". From Rfam's summary of the family: Transfer RNA (tRNA) molecules are approximately 80 nucleotides in length. Their secondary structure includes four short double-helical elements and three loops (D, anti-codon, and T loops). The record is from RNAcentral. Lineage: Bacteria; Bacillati; Cyanobacteriota; Cyanophyceae; Synechococcales; Synechococcaceae.